RNAcentral lists this transfer RNA (70 nucleotides) under Dipodomys ordii (Ord's kangaroo rat). It matches the Rfam family "tRNA". Rfam says of the family: Transfer RNA (tRNA) molecules are approximately 80 nucleotides in length. Their secondary structure includes four short double-helical elements and three loops (D, anti-codon, and T loops). The record is from Rfam by way of RNAcentral. Lineage: Eukaryota; Metazoa; Chordata; Mammalia; Rodentia; Heteromyidae.
GGGAAGGUGGCUCAGUGGUAGAGCUCUUGCCUUCCAUGCCAGAGGCCCUGGGUUCAAUUCCCCAUAACUG